Molecule: ribosomal RNA, 484 nt
Filed under: uncultured bacterium
Lineage: Bacteria
Description: partial 16S ribosomal RNA
Rfam family: Bacterial small subunit ribosomal RNA
Source: RNAcentral
AUUGAACGCUGGCGGAAUGCUUUACACAUGCAAGUCGAGCGGCAGCACGGGGGCAACCCUGGUGGCGAGCGGCGAACGGGUGAGUAAUACAUCGGAACAUGCCCAGUCGUGGGGGAUAACACUUCGAAAGAAGUGCUAAUACCGCAUACGUCCUGAGGGGGAAAGCGGGGGAUCGCAAGACCUCGCGCGAUUGGAGUGGCCGAUGUCAGAUUAGCUAGUUGGUGGGGUAAAGGCCUACCAAGGCAACGAUCUGUAGCUGGUCUGAGAGGAUGAUCAGCCACACUGGGACUGAGACACGGCCCAGACUCCUACGGGAGGCAGCAGUGGGGAAUUUUGGACAAAGGGGGCAACCCCGAUCCAGCCAUUCCGCGUGAGUGAAGAAGGCCUUCGGGUUGUAAAGCUCUUUCGGCAGGAACGAAACGGUGAGCUCUAACAUAGCUUGCUAAUGACGGUACCUGAAGAAGAAGCACCGGCUAACUACGUG